Molecule: non-coding RNA, 45 nt
Organism: Schistosoma mansoni
Lineage: Eukaryota; Metazoa; Platyhelminthes; Trematoda; Strigeidida; Schistosomatidae
Source: Rfam
AUCCAGCUGACGAGUCCCAAAUACAACUAAACGCCCGUCCUGGAU